AUGCCUAUCCUAUUACAUGACCGCCAUCCAAACCGGUUGAAGAUAUCCCGAGCUACCAUCUCCCAGCGGACAGACCCAGUAACCAAAUGCUCCCUGGCCUCCGUCUGGGUGAUUGGCGACCACGAACGAAUCAGUGCCGUAGUCCGGAAUAAAACCUGCAAAAAAUGUAUACAUGAUAUUCUGUUAAAAACCAAAUCAUUUCUGCAAUUCCAGAUAGUCCACAACAAAGCACAAGCCCCAACCCGAAUAUGUCUCGCUACGUUAGACUCAAUCCCAUUAAGCCAUGUCCCAAAGAACGCAUAA
RNAcentral lists this ribosomal RNA (303 nucleotides) under Triticum aestivum (bread wheat). Its description in RNAcentral is "partial small subunit ribosomal RNA". Lineage: Eukaryota; Viridiplantae; Streptophyta; Magnoliopsida; Poales; Poaceae. The record is from RNAcentral.